GUUAGAACGCUCGUAGUCGGAUUUCGGGGCGGGGCGACCGGUCUGCCGAUGGGUACGCACUGGUCGGCGCGUCCUUCCUUCCGGAGACCGUGCCUACUCUUAACUGAGCGGGGGCGGGAGACGGAUCGUUUACUUUGAAAAAAUCAGAGUGUUUCAAGCAGGCAGCUCGCUCUUGCAUGGAUUAGCAUGGGAUAAUGAAAUAGGACUUUGGUGCUAUUUUGUUGGUUUCGAACACCGAAGUAAUGAUUAACAGGGACAGUCAGGGGCACUCGUAUUCCGCCGAGAGAGGUGAAAUUCUCAGACCAGCGGAAGACGAACUACUGCGAAAGCAUUUGCCAGGGAUGUUUUCACUGAUCAAGAACGAAAGUUAGGGGAUCGAAGAGGAUCAGAUACCCUCGUAGUCUUAACCAUAAACCAUGCCGACUAGGGAUUGGGGGAUGUUCACAUAUCGACUCCCUCAGCACCUUACGGGAAACUAAAGUCUUUGGGUUCCGGGGGGAGUAUGGUCGCAAGGCUGAAACUUAAAGGAAUUGACGGAAGGGCACCACCAGGUGUGGAGCCUGCGGCUUAAUUUGACUCAACACGGGGAAACUUACCAGGUCCAGACAUUGUGAGGAUUGACAGAUUGAGAGCUCUUUCUUGAUUCGAUGGGUGGUGGUGCAUGGCCGUUCUUAGUUGGUGGAGUGAUUUGUCUGGUUAAUUCCGUUAACG
RNAcentral lists this ribosomal RNA (711 nucleotides) under uncultured marine eukaryote. RNAcentral's name for it is "SSU rRNA". It matches the Rfam family "Eukaryotic small subunit ribosomal RNA", at positions 618 to 1333 of the family's 1831-position model. The record is from RNAcentral.